UCGAACGAUGAAGCGACUAGCUUGCUAGUUGUGGAUUAGUGGCGCACGGGUGAGUAAGGUAUAGUUAAUCUGCCCUACACAAGAGGACAACAGUUGGAAACGGCUGCUAAUACUCUAUACUCCUGCUUAACACAAGUUGAGUAGGGAAAGUUUUUCGGUGUAGGAUGAGACUAUAUAGUAUCAGCUAGUUGGUGAGGUAAUGGCUCACCAAGGCUAUGACGCUUAACUGGUCUGAGAGGAUGAUCAGUCACACUGGAACUGAGACACGGUCCAGACUCCUACGGGAGGCAGCAGUAGGGAAUAUUGCGCAAUGGGGGAAACCCUGACGCAGCAACGCCGCGUGGAGGAUGACACUUUUCGGAGCGUAAACUCCUUUUCUUAGGGAAGAAUUCUGACGGUACCUAAGGAAUAAGCACCGGCUAACUCCGUGCCAGCAGCCGCGGUAAUACGGAGGGUGCAAGCGUUACUCGGAAUCACUGGGCGUAAAGGGCGCGUAGGCGGAUUAUCAAGUCUCUUGUGAAAUCCAACGGCUUAACCGUUGAACUGCUUGGGAAACUGGUAAUCUAGAGUGGGGGAGAGGCAGAUGGAAUUGGUGGUGUAGGGGUAAAAUCCGUAGAUAUCACCAAGAAUACCCAUUGCGAAGGCGAUCUGCUGGAACUUAACUGACGCUAAGGCGCGAAAGCGUGGGGAGCAAACAGGAUUAGAUACCCUGGUAGUCCACGCCCUAAACGAUGUAUGCUAGUUGUUGGGGUGCUAGUCAUCUCAGUAAUGCAGCUAACGCAUUAAGCAUACCGCCUGGGGAGUACGGUCGCAAGAUUAAAACUCAAAGGAAUAGACGGGGACCCGCACAAGCGGUGGAGCAUGUGGUUUAAUUCGAAGAUACGCGAAGAACCUUACCUGGGCUUGAUAUCCUAAGAACCUUAUAGAGAUAUGAGGGUGCUAGCUUGCUAGAACUUAGAGACAGGUGCUGCACGGCUGUCGUCAGCUCGUGUCGUGAGAUGUUGGGUUAAGUCCCGCAACGAGCGCAACCCACGUAUUUAGUUGCUAACACUUCGGGUGAGCACUCUAAAUAGACUGCCUUCGUAAGGAGGAGGAAGGUGUGGACGACGUCAAGUCAUCAUGGCCCUUAUGCCCAGGGCGACACACGUGCUACAAUGGCAUAUACAAUGAGACGCAAUACCGCGAGGUGGAGCAAAUCUAUAAAAUAUGUCCCAGUUCGGAUUGUUCUCUGCAACUCGAGAGCAUGAAGCCGGAAUCGCUAGUAAUC
Molecule: ribosomal RNA, 1267 nt
Filed under: Campylobacter lari
Lineage: Bacteria; Pseudomonadati; Campylobacterota; Epsilonproteobacteria; Campylobacterales; Campylobacteraceae
Description: bacterial SSU rRNA
Rfam family: Bacterial small subunit ribosomal RNA
Source: RNAcentral